GAUGAACGCUGGCGGCGUGCCUAAUACAUGCAAGUCGAGCGAACGCACGAGAAGAUUGCUUCUCUGAUGUUAGCGGCGGUCGGGUGAGUAACACGUGGAUCACCAACCUAUAUGACUGGGAUAACUUCGGGAAUCCGCAGCUAAUACCGGAACAUAUUUUGAACCGCUUGGAUCAAAAGUGAAAGACGGUUUUGCCGUCUGUUAUAGAUGGAUCCGCGUUGCGUUAGCGAGUUGGUAAGGUAACGGCUUACCAAGGCAACGAUGCAUAGCCGACCUGAGAGGGUGAUCGGCCACAGUGAAUGAGACACACUCUCCAGUCUUCUACGGGAGGCAGCAGUAGGAUAUCGGCCGCAAUGCGCGAAAGCCUUACGGCGCAACGCCGCGUGAGUGAUGAGGGUCUUGGUAUCAUAAAACUCUGUUAUGAGGGAAAAACAUAUGUGUAAGUAACUGGGCACAUCUUGACGGUACAUAGACAGAAAGCCACGUCUAACUACG
RNAcentral lists this ribosomal RNA (495 nucleotides) under uncultured bacterium. Its description in RNAcentral is "partial 16S ribosomal RNA". It matches the Rfam family "Bacterial small subunit ribosomal RNA", at positions 28 to 505 of the family's 1533-position model. The record is from RNAcentral.